AAUAGGAUAGCUGGGUCAAAUGGUGGUUUCAUUCCAAGUUUUCUGAGGAAUCUCCAUACUGCUUUCGAUAUUGGAUGCACCAAUUUGCAGUCCCACCAGCAAU
RNAcentral lists this microRNA precursor (103 nucleotides) under Marmota monax (woodchuck). Lineage: Eukaryota; Metazoa; Chordata; Mammalia; Rodentia; Sciuridae. The record is from RNAcentral.